UACGUAGGGUGCAAGCGUUAAUCGGAAUUACUGGGCGUAAAGCGUGCGUAGGCGGUUUCUUAAGUCUGCUGUGAAAGCCCCGGGCUCAACCUGGGAAUGGCGGUGGAUACUGAGAAGCUGGAGUACGGUAGAGGAAGGUGGAAUUCCCGGUGUAGCGGUGAAAUGCGUAGAGAUCGGGAGGAACAUCAGUGGCGAAGGCGGCCUUCUGGACCAGUACUGACGCUGAGGCACGAAAGCGUGGGGAGCAAACAGG
RNAcentral lists this ribosomal RNA (253 nucleotides) under uncultured bacterium. RNAcentral describes it as "partial 16S ribosomal RNA". It matches the Rfam family "Bacterial small subunit ribosomal RNA", at positions 524 to 776 of the family's 1533-position model. The record is from RNAcentral.